UACAAAAACAUGUCCUUUUGAUAAUUAUUUAAGGUYUGACCUGCCCAAUGAAGUAUUUAAUGGCCGCGGUAUUUUAACCGUGCUAAGGUAGCAUAAUCAUUUGUCUUUUAAUUGUAGGCUUGUAUGAAUGGUUGGACGAGGUAUUAACUUUCUUAAUUUUUUUUUUUAGAAUUUAAUUUUUAAGUUAAAAAGCUUAAAUGGGAAUGAGGGACGAGAAGACCCUAUAGAUUUUUAUAUUUAUAAUAAUUUAAUUGUUUGGGGUAUUAUUUAAUUUAAUUAUUGUAAGUAUUUGGUUGGGGUGAUUAUAGAAUUUUUAGAACUUCUAUUUAUAUUUUUCAUAGAUUUAUGUUUUUUUGAUCCUUUA
RNAcentral lists this ribosomal RNA (364 nucleotides) under Mirambulus niger. RNAcentral describes it as "partial 16S ribosomal RNA". Lineage: Eukaryota; Metazoa; Arthropoda; Insecta; Hemiptera; Reduviidae. The record is from RNAcentral.